UACGUAGGGUGCGAGCGUUGUCCGGAAUUAUUGGGCGUAAAGAGCUCGUAGGCGGUGUGUCACGUCGUUCGUGAAAAACCUGCAGCUUAACUGUGGGCGUGCGGUCGAUACGGGCAUCACUGGAGUUCGGCAGGGGAGACUGGAAUUCCUGGUGUAGCGGUGAAAUGCGCAGAUAUCAGGAGGAACACCGGUGGCGAAGGCGGGUCUCUGGGCCGAUACUGACGCUGAGGAGCGAAAGCGUGGGGGAGCAAACAGG
This 256-nucleotide ribosomal RNA is filed under the name uncultured bacterium. Its description in RNAcentral is "partial 16S ribosomal RNA". It matches the Rfam family "Bacterial small subunit ribosomal RNA", at positions 524 to 776 of the family's 1533-position model. The record is from RNAcentral.